This 406-nucleotide ribosomal RNA is filed under the name uncultured bacterium. Its description in RNAcentral is "partial 16S ribosomal RNA". It matches the Rfam family "Bacterial small subunit ribosomal RNA", at positions 28 to 526 of the family's 1533-position model. The record is from RNAcentral.
GACGAACGCUGGCGGCGUGCCUAAUACAUGCAAGUAGAACGCAGUUGCGAACGGGUGAGUAACGCGUAGGUAGCUGCCUGGUAGCGGGGAUAACUAAUUGAACCGAAAGCUAAUCCCGCAUACCACCAGAUGGACCUGCGUUGUAUUAGCUAGUUGGUGGGGUAACGGCUCACCCAGGCAACGCUACAUAGCCGAACUGGGAGGGGGAACGGCCACCAUUGGAAUGGGGCACGGGCCAGACUCCCACGGGAGGCAGCCGUAGGGAAACUUCGGCAAUGGACGGAAGGCUGACCGAGCAACGCCGCGGGGUUGAAGAAGGUUUUCGGAUCGUAAAGCUCUUUUGUAAGAGAAGCGGUAUCUGACCAGAAAGGGACGGCUAACUACGUGCCAGCAGCCGCGGUAAUUC